This is a long non-coding RNA of Pelmatolapia mariae (spotted tilapia), 1269 nucleotides long. RefSeq lists it as uncharacterized. The transcript is spliced from 4 exons. NCBI's taxonomy places the organism in Eukaryota, Metazoa, Chordata, Actinopteri, Cichliformes, Cichlidae. The record is from RefSeq and is a predicted model, not a curated record.
CUUUACAGAAGAUGUUCGGAUUCUCCAUCACUACCUUCAAAAAUCUGCAGAAAGUGCCUUUUGCAGCUUGGAGAACGAAGCCACAGCUCAGAAUUAUGCCCAACUUGCACAAGUUACACUCUCACAAAUCAUUGUGUUCAAUCGAAGACGUUCUGGAGAGGUUUCAAAGAUGCGCCUCAAAAGUUUUCUUGAAAGAGACAAAACGGCACUCCACACAGAUGUUUCCAUGGGGCUCUCAGAAAUGGAACAGAGACUCUGUAACUAUUUCUGUAGAAUAGAAAUAAUGGGAAAAAGGGACAGAAAUGUUCCAGUUCUGCUAACACCAAGCAUGCUGGAUGCUCUGUCACUACUGGUUAGUAGGAGGCCUGACUGUGGUAUUUGUGCCACUAAUAUCUACCUCUUUGCAAGACCCCGAUCAAUGAGUCAUUACAGAGGAAUGGACUCCUUGCGUGUUCAUGCACACCAGUGUGGAGCAAAGCACCCUGAGUAUCUAAGAUCGACACAGCUCAGAAAACAUGUUGCCACACUCUCACAAGUCCUUAAUUUGAAAAACAAUGAACUUGAUCAGGUUGCAGAUUUCCUGGGUCAUGAUAUCCGCGUUCACCGCGAAUUCUACAGAUUACCAGUUCCCACAACACAGCUGGCCAAGAUUUCCAAACUGCUUUUAACACUGGAAAAAGGACAUCUUUCCCAGAUCCAGGGGAAAUCACUGGAUGAGAUCGAAAUUGAAGAUGAAAUUGCAUUAAGUGAUGCUGAAACAAAGGACAGUGAGAGUGAAUCAGAUGAUGAUGACACAGCACUCACAAUGUCGGCGUGUGGCACCAGUGAGCCUGUACAUGCAGUAGCUGAUUCCACAAACACAGCGCAGCUCCAAGACACUGUAGAUUGUGCAGAUGAAGAACCACUCAUAAUGCCUGCAGCAAGUGAGACUGCUGCUCCCUCUGAAGAUAAAAAUGCUGCUCAAUCCCACAAUUCCCGAAGAGCUCCCAAAAACAUGUGGUCCAAGGCUGAGGUUGCUGCAGUGAUGAGGCAUUUUAAAGACCACAUAAACGAAGGGAAACUGGCCACCAAAAAUGAAUGCAGUCAUUGCAAAUUGGUAGAAGAUCCGAUGUUGGCAGGAAGAACAGUUCAAAACAUAAGAGAUUUUGUAAGAAACAGAGGAUUAACUGCAAAAAGGCAGAAAAAAAUGAACUAAAAUAACUGUUUAGCCAGAUGUGGUUUUACAUCUUGGUCAGAUGGCCAAACUGUUGUUAAAACUGAGUUAUUGUG